UGGAGCGUAACCGAGUGGUCAAAGGUAUCAGACUUUUAAUCUGACGCGAAAUGCUUCGGGGGUUCGAAUCCCCCCGCUCCAACCA
RNAcentral lists this transfer RNA (85 nucleotides) under Thermoplasmata archaeon M11B2D. RNAcentral describes it as "tRNA-Lys". It matches the Rfam family "tRNA". Rfam says of the family: Transfer RNA (tRNA) molecules are approximately 80 nucleotides in length. RNAcentral also lists the same sequence under 1 other name. Lineage: Archaea; Methanobacteriati; Thermoplasmatota; Thermoplasmata. The record is from RNAcentral.